CCUACGGGUGGCAGCAGUGAGGAAUAUUGGUCAAUGGCCGAGAGGCUGAACCAGCCAAGUCGCGUGAAGGAAGACGGCCCUACGGGUUGUAAACCUCUUUUGUCGGGGAGCAAAGCGAGUCACGUGUGACUCAUUGAGAGUACCCGAAGAAAAAGCAUCGGCAAACUCCGUGCCAGCAGCCGCGGUAAUACGGAGGAAGCGAGCGUUAUCCGGAUUUAUUGGGGUUAAAGGGUGAGCAGGCGGAGGGGCAAGUCAGCGGUAAAAUUGCGGGGCUCAACCCCGUACUGCCGUUGAAACUGCAUCCCUUGAGUGCGCGAGAAGUAGGCGGAAUGCGUGGUGUAGCGGUGAAAUGCAUAGAUAUCACGCAGAACUCCGAUUGCGAAGGCAGCAUACCGGCGCGCAACUGACGCUCAUGCACGAAAGCGUGGGUAUCGAACAGGAUUAGAUACCCCGGUAGUC
RNAcentral lists this ribosomal RNA (459 nucleotides) under uncultured bacterium. RNAcentral's name for it is "partial 16S ribosomal RNA". It matches the Rfam family "Bacterial small subunit ribosomal RNA", at positions 338 to 795 of the family's 1533-position model. The record is from RNAcentral.